AUAGCCAUAUCACGUUGAAACACAGGUUUCCGUACGAUCACCGAAGUUAAGCAACGUCCAGACUGGUCAGUACCUAGAUGAGUGACCGCUUGAGAAUGCAAUGUGCUGUAAG
This 112-nucleotide ribosomal RNA is filed under the name Acanthosepion pharaonis. Lineage: Eukaryota; Metazoa; Mollusca; Cephalopoda; Sepiida; Sepiidae. The record is from RNAcentral.